RNAcentral lists this microRNA (21 nucleotides) under Prunus persica (peach). RNAcentral's name for it is "microRNA miRNA_101". Lineage: Eukaryota; Viridiplantae; Streptophyta; Magnoliopsida; Rosales; Rosaceae. The record is from RNAcentral.
CUCCGUCAACUUCACCGUUUG